This 467-nucleotide ribosomal RNA is filed under the name uncultured bacterium. RNAcentral describes it as "partial 16S ribosomal RNA". It matches the Rfam family "Bacterial small subunit ribosomal RNA", at positions 28 to 507 of the family's 1533-position model. The record is from RNAcentral.
GAUGAACGCUGGCGGCGUGCUUAACACAUGCAAGUCGAACGGUGAAGCAGAGCUUGCUCUGUGGAUCAGUGGCGCACGGGUGAGUAACACGUGAGCAACCUGCCCCUGACUCUGGGAUAAGCGCUGGAAACGGCGUCUAAUACUGGAUAUGAGCUGCGACCGCAUGGUCAGCAGUUGGAAAGAUUUUUCGGUCUGGGAUGGGCUCACGGCCUAUCAGCUUGUUGGUGAGGUAAUGGCUCACCAAGGCGUCGACGGGUAGCCGGCCUGAGAGGGUGACCGGCCACACUGGGACUGAGACACGGCCCAGACUCCUACGGGAGGCAGCAGUGGGGAAUAUUGCACAAUGGGCGAAAGCCUGAUGCAGCAACGCCGCGUGAGGGAUGACGGCCUUCGGGUUGUAAACCUCUUUUAGCAGGGAAGAAGCGAAAGUGACGGUACCUGCAGAAAAAGCGCCGGCUAACUACGUG